This 2848-nucleotide long non-coding RNA is filed under the name Salmo salar (Atlantic salmon). Its description in RNAcentral is "lncRNA (ENSSSAG00000084991.1)". The record is from RNAcentral. Lineage: Eukaryota; Metazoa; Chordata; Actinopteri; Salmoniformes; Salmonidae.
CAGACCUGGUGUCUCCUCUUGUAGCCUGGUCCCAGACCUGGUGUCUCCUCUUGUAGCCUGGUCCCAGAUCUGGUGUCUCCUCUUGUAGCCUGGUCCCAGAUCUGUCGUCUCCUCUUGUAGCCAAACAGUUUGGCGUGACAAGGAGUUAGCAUGAUGGCACAAAUGGACUGGGGUUGAUGGAAACCAGGCAUCUCUUUAGUGUAUGCCACGUUGUAGAGUAUGUCACCUCCCACGUGUUAUGUCUCUGAAAGAGAGAUGGUAUUUUAAAUGCUUCCAGGUUCACAUUGAGGCUUGGGUUAUUGUUAAAGUAUUUUCUAUUAAUCUAAUCCAGAUGUGUGCAUCACGUAAACAGUAACGGCCGUAGACUACAUGUUUUAUGGAAAGGGGAAAUAUAUGUCGCUUAAUCUAUUGCUUUCGUUUGUUUGCAAAGGAAAACUAAAUAUUGUGACUUUCAAAGGAAUGACGAAAGGUCAAAGAACUCCAUGGGGAGUCAUUCUGUUGAUCCAGUUCUCUGAUAAAGGCCCGAUGCUGCCACCUAGUGAACGUUCAGCAUUCCUGCAGCUCAUCCAAUCACUGUAAUAGACGGUGGACUAACUAGGUGUCGUAAGGGGUGUAAUGUCCUAAAUGGCGCCAUAUUCCCUAUCUAGUGCAUUACUUUUGACCAGGACCCAAUAGGUAGUGCUCUUUUCAAUUUGAGAAUACACGUAGCUGGUAAAAAAAUUAAUAUUUCUGUUAAAUUACAUCUGAUACAUACUAAAUAUUUCAUAUUUAUUUACCACUGAAAUUUCAUGAAAAACCAAAUAAAUAUGUAUACCAGCCUAAAGGUAAACAACUCGCUUAGUGUGCUGCCGAACUGCGGCAACAAGUGGCAAAAAUAGGACGUGUAUUGAGAACGGGUUAGGUGGCGUGUUCAUUCCUGGUCCAACGCUGAGCGGGCCAGAUCCAACAAAAACAGAUAGAAAACUAGUGGGUUAUUAAAACAUCUGUCCUUAAAAACCCUUGUAAUGGACUCACCUUGUUUGAGUGUAGCCUAUGUCUUGAAAUAUCACAUAGGCCUAAUGAUUUAACGUAAAAGAAGCGAAUAUAAUAGCGUUGGCUAUAGCAUAGAAGUAGGCCUAAAUUACUGUAACACUAGAAGGGGAAAAAAAACACUUCUUUAAGCUUUUUAGGAUCCACAUUGAAGCUGAGCAGUCACAUUUCUUUCCCUCGUGCGGUCAAAACUCAACAGCGUGUUGCACUAGGCAGGAUAUAGCCUAAGCUUUCUAUGAUCGAAAACAAAACACACGAAAGACGAUUACUUUGAAACCGUCUGUUGUAAUUCGCUCACGAAAACAGUAAUUCCUGAAGCUCUAAAUGCCUGUGGUAUUGGGUUUUACCUGUAUGUAGGUGUGUGACCCUGCUGACUUAUAGGAAGUUAAUGAGUUCAAUAAGUACAUGCCACGGAAGAACCAGAUCAGGACAGUAGUCUGGUAGGCCUGCGUCACUUGGACAGCGAUGAUAAUAACUGCAAUGCCAAUGCUGUGUGUGUGUGUUUUUUUUUUUUUAUGACGUUAGGGCACCUAUUAAAUUCAUGUUGAAUUUGCGUGCACCAGCAUGAGUCAUUAAUGUAAAUUUAGACUGUUCAUGUAGCACCUUGGACUGGAGUCCGGACACCCAACUGAACCUCAGCCAGACACUGACUGUCCCAUCACUUGAGUACAGAAUAUCACCUCUUCAAACUGUUUGUUUCAGAUGGCAUUAAUGAUUAUUGGUAUAACAAAUGAAUUGCUGUGGCGUUUUGACCUAGUUGAGGUUGGCCAGAUGUCUACACUUUGUCCAUGAAACAAAAAUCAAGCUAGUAUGAAAAUAGACGACAUGUAAAAUAAAAAAAUUAAAAGCUGACCUCUCUAUGUUUAUUCUGCUUCUAUGUGUCCACCAGUUUGGUGUAGUAUAGUUCCCCUUUUCAUCGAAUUAAACCUUGCCAUGAAUUGAAUUGGGUCAGUGAACUUUGUGGAGCAGAAGAAAUUGUGUUGCCCUAUUCUCACUUGACUUGACACUGAAACGUUAGGGAACUAGAAUGAACAUUGGACUUGUGAUGUGGUGUAACGAUUUUUAUGGGAAUAUAUAGACCAACUUUUUAAGAUGAAAGAUCAAAUAAAAGUGUAACAAGUUAUGUUUGUACUAGAUAUUUUCUAGACAAGGAGGCUGAAUUGGCAGCUUUUAGGCUAGCUAAGUUGAAUUAACCUGAGUGACAGUGGCUGUUUUGUGCCAUCUUGUCGUUCCAUUGGCUUGACAACGAGCAAUGGGAUGCCAUCAAGUAGAAGUAUUGUGUUUUUACUGUGGGCAGUGACACAAAACACUUGUAGAGCCCGUGAUGGGCAAGAAUCUAAAGGAAAUGAAUGGUAUUAUAUGGAGUCACUAACAAUGACUAAUCUAGUCUGUUUGUAUCCCAAAUGGAACCCUAGUCCCUAUGUAGUGCCUACAUAAGCCUCUGAUCAAAAGUAGUGCACUAUAUAGGGAAUAGGGUGCCAUUUGGGACUAAGUAGUGCACCAUAUAGGGUGCCAUUUGGGACAAUACUAUGUAUUUGUUUUAAUUUAAAGCACAUUAGGUGUCUGAAAUAAUGCGGCUUGAAUUAACUUCCAUUAUCUUCCCUAAUUUUAUUAUGAAUUUUCCGUAAGAGACAUACUGAGUGCAGCACAUUCAAGUUCACAAUUCAAGUAUGUUUGCCCUGUAUCGUUGUUAGCCAGUACUAUGUUUUGGGAUUAUCAAUGUUAUGCAUUGUAUAAUUUUUGCCUUAAAAUAAAGCAGUAUUUUUGUUUUCAAAUUGAAUAAAACAAUCAAAUAAAUAAACCUUUAUGGUCAGCAUAA